Molecule: long non-coding RNA, 1720 nt
Filed under: Homo sapiens (human)
Lineage: Eukaryota; Metazoa; Chordata; Mammalia; Primates; Hominidae
Description: HIF1A antisense RNA 3
Source: RNAcentral
CCCAGAAUGGAGCCAAGACAAGGGAAUAAACGAAAUUCAAUAGUACACGGAGAUCGGGUGUCUGGGCAGCGUCUUGGAAAAACUAUCCACUACAGUACAGGUCAAGUGAAGUUCUUCUGCUGAUAUGUUCUGCUACUGCAUAAGCAAUCAACAACACAGAAGACAACUUCUGCAACCCUAUCGGGAGAGGAGGGGUUCUCUCCACCACCAGUCCCCUGGAAGAAUUCUCAAAACACAGAAUGCUUGCCAAGUCAAUCCUAAGCCAAAAGAACAAAGCUGGAGGCAUCACACUACCUGACUUCAAACUAUACUACAAGGAUGCAGUAACCAAAACAGCAUGGUACUGGUACCAAAACAGAGAUAUAGACCAAUGGAACAGAACAGAGCCCUCAGAAAUAAUGCCGCUUAUCUACAACCAUCUGAUCUUUGACAAACCUGACAAAAACAAGAAAUGGGGAAAGGAUUCCCUAUUUAAUAAAUGGUGCUGGGAAAACUGGCUAGCCAUAUGCAGAAAGCUGAAACUGGAUCCCUUCCUUACACCUUAUGCUAAAAUUAAUUCAAGAUGGAUUAAAGACUUAAAUGUUAGACCUAAAACCAUAAAAACCGUAGAAUAAAACCUAGGCAAUACCAUUCAGGACAUAGGCAUGGGCAAGGACUUCAUGUUUAAAACACCAAAAGCCAUGGCAACAGAAGCCAAAAUUGACAAAUAGGAUCUAAUUAAACUAAAGAGCUUCUGCACAGCAAAAGAAACUACCAUCAGAGUGAACAGGCAACCUACAGAAUGGGAGAAAAUUUUUGCAAUCUACUCAUCUGACAAAGGGCUAGUAUCCAGAAUCUACAAUGAACUCAAACAAAUUUACAAGAAAAAAACAACCCCAUCAAAAAGUGGGCAAACGAUAUGAACAGACACUUCUCAAAAGACGACAUUUAUGCUGCCAAAAGACACAUGAAAAAAUGCUCAUCAUCACUGGCCAUCAGAGAAAUGCAAAUCAAAACCACAAUGAGAUACCAUCUCACACCAGUUAGAAUGGCGAUCAUUAAAAAGUCAGGAAACAACAGGUGCUGGAGAGGAUGUGGAGAAACAGGAACACUUUUACACUGUUAGUGGGACUGUAAACUAGUUCAACCAUUGUGGAAGUCAGUGUGGCGAUUCCUCAGGGAUCUAGAACUAGAAAUACCAUUUGACCCAGCCAUCCCAUUACUGGGUAUAUACCCAAAGGAUUAUAAAUCAUGCUGCUAUAAAGACACAUGCACACGUAUGUUUAUUGUGGCACUAUUCACAAUAGCAAAGACUUGGAACCAACCCAAAUGUCCAAUAAUGAUAGACUGGAUUAAGAAAAUGUGGCACAUAUACACCAUGGAAUACUAUUCAGCCAUAAAAAAGGAUGAGUUCAUGUCCUUUGUAGGGACAUGGAUGAAGCCGGAAACCAUCAUUCUCAGCAAACUAUCGCAAGGACAAAAAACCAAACACCGCGUGUUCUCACUCAUAGGUAGGAACUGAACAAUGAGAACACAUGGACACAGGAAGGGGAACAUCACACGCCGGGGCCUGUUGUGGGGUGGGGGGAGCGGGGAGGGAUAGCAUUAGGAGAUAUACCUAAUGUUAAAUGACGAGUUACUGGGUGCAGCACACCAACAUGGCACAUGUAUACAUAUGUAACUAACCUGCACGUUGUGCACAUGUACCCUAAAACUUAAAGUAUAAUAAAGAAAAAAAAAA